Molecule: non-coding RNA, 26 nt
Filed under: Mus musculus (house mouse)
Lineage: Eukaryota; Metazoa; Chordata; Mammalia; Rodentia; Muridae
Source: RNAcentral
UNGCUCUUACUCUGUGGCCUGGUCUG